Molecule: small RNA, 44 nt
Filed under: Mytilus galloprovincialis (Mediterranean mussel)
Lineage: Eukaryota; Metazoa; Mollusca; Bivalvia; Mytilida; Mytilidae
Source: RNAcentral
GCGUCUCUGACGAGUCUUUUGUAGACAAAACGCGCGUCUGGCGU